This 369-nucleotide ribosomal RNA is filed under the name uncultured organism. RNAcentral describes it as "bacterial SSU rRNA". It matches the Rfam family "Bacterial small subunit ribosomal RNA", at positions 526 to 896 of the family's 1533-position model. The record is from RNAcentral.
CGGAGGGUGCAAGCGUUAUCCGGAUUCACUGGGUUCAAAGGGAGCGUAGGUGGGCUUGUAAGUCAGUGGUGAAAUCUCUGGGCUUAACCCGGAAACUGCCAUUGAUACUAUAGGUCUUGAAUUCUCUGGAGGUAAGCGGAAUAUGUCAUGUAGCGGUGAAAUGCUUAGAUAUGACAUAGAACACCCAUUGCGAAGGCAGCUUACUACGGAGACAUUGACACUGAGGCUCGAAAGCGUGGGGAUCAAACAGGAUUAGAUACCCUGGUAGUCCACGCCCUAAACGAUGAUUACUCGACAUUAGCGAUAUUACUGUUAGUGUCUAAGCGAAAGCAUUAAGUAAUCCACCUGGGAAGUACGACCGCAAGGUUG